CACAGCGGGCACAGCUGGGCACAGCUGGACACAGAGCUGUGGCUCUUAAGCUGAGCCUUGCCAUGAGCUCGGCUUAGCGAGGCCAGCCUGGGUCGGGGAUAGGGCCGUGCCCUGCAGCGCUGCCCUUCCCCUGGCCCUGCAGCAUCAUCCUCUGGACUGAAACCCCUCCUGGGCAUGGCCUCAGCUCAGAGCUCAGUCCUGUCCCACUAAUAAAUCUCCAGGCCUUCCUCUGCCCACUGUACCUGUUUUCACAAUCAGAUUUUGAAUUUUUUUUUUUUUUUUUUUUUUACUUCAAUAGGUGACAUUUUAACUUAAAACCUAACAAUUCUGUAGGUGCUGAAAGCAGCUGGUUGUGUCUGUUCAUCCUUUCUUCCCCAUUAGAAAUUGAGAUUAUGGUUAAAGAGGUACCUUCUGGUAUAGUUUUCUCAUAAAGUCUUAAAAGUGCUUUUGACUUGUGUCAGGGAAAGUAAAGUUUUGGGGCAUCCAGAAUUUCCUUUAUUCAUGUUGAUUUCAUUGCAAUGUCACAAAUUUAAAAUAGAGGUUCUGGAUGAAACUUCGUUUCUCCAAAAUAGUUCCUGGAAAAUAGUAUAAGCUCUCCUCCAGUUAAAUCGCAUAAAAAGAGAAAAGAACUUCAAGUGCGAUUGAAAUUUAUCAUUUUUUCUUCUACAUUGGGGCAGACAGUUCCAUUUCUGUAAAUGGCGGGGGGGGGGGGAACUUUUAAAGACAUUUUAUGGUUCAAAUUCUGUGUUAUUAACUGAAGUCCAUAUGGCAAGAAAAAAAAAAAAACAACAAGUAUUAUAUACCAUAUAUUUUAUCUGUCCUACUGCAAAGCAAAAAAGGAUAAAAAAUUGGUAUAUGAAUGUAGAGCUGACCCUACAGCUUUGCAGCUAGACUGGUGGGUCUCAACUCUGAGUUAUCCUAGGGAGCACAGUGGGAUGACUUAAAACAGGAAUUGCAAUUGAGAUAAAAACUGUGGGAAUUGGAAGUCCAGGGUCCCCUGACUUCAGACAGUGGUAGAACCAAAUCCAGCUUUUAAAGUGCAGUGAAAGCCACUGGAAGAGCUUAAUAAGAACAGACAUCAGAAAAUUGCAACAAGAACCCAUCUGGUUUGUGUGUAUUCUGUUUAUACAGAAUGUUUUAAGUAAGAAAAUCCCUUAUUUGAUAGUAAAUUUAUGGAUAUUACUUACACUUAACCUUCUGUUCAGAGCACCCUAAGAGAUGAAUAUAGUGGUCAGUUUAAAAUUUCUGUGUAAGUUAGUCCAGCAACAAAGCAAUAUUCACUGUUAAAUCAAUGGGUAAAUGGAAGGGCUGUGUGGGGAGGAGGGGAAUAAUUUCUAAUCCAUUUCAGUCCCCAGGUCUCCAGCCUGUGGUUUCUAGAGACAGACACCACGUUUCCUGACUCAGAGCAGUUAUCAGUUUGUGAUCUGGGGAUUUCCAGGGAGUUUAAGGACAGUUUCUAAGGACACUGCUAAAAGAACAGUUAAAUGCUAUUGUAGAUCGAACUUCAGAGUUAUAUUUGCAUUGUAAAAUAUUUCUGUAAGCAGUGUGUAGGAGAGUGUUGGUGAAGGGAUGUGCAUGCUCAGGGAGAAACAGGAGCUCCAUCAAUUCAGGAGCUGAGAAGUAUUCACAGGGCACCUGGCUCCUGGCCAGUGGGAACAGCAGCUCUUCCCUUUGCCCUGGCUGAAUACAUUCCAGCUUGGAACCUGGGCCUGGGUGGCUGCUCUGAUGAAGGUGAUUUGCACAAGGGCAGAAUUGGCUUCAAGGGCUUCUUAGGAGCAGGGAGAAGGAAAACACCUUUUGUUCCUUCCUGCAGAACUACUGUUUAAUAAGUAAGUUGGAUUCUUUGGGCAUUUCUUGUGGCAUAGCUGGAUAUGGUUUUGCACUGUGUAAAUUUGUACUUGUGUUUCUUUCCUAAAGUGAACCUGAACUUCCCAUGAGAUCUGCCCAAAUUCCAAGGAUGUUUAAAAGAUGACAUUGAGUAUUCUUUGAGCUCUAAUGCAAGAACAUUGCAUAGUACAGCUUCAGAAAGUUAAUAUGAACACAAGAGAGUGCUUCCUCUGUAAACUGCUGUUUCCUAUUUGGAAGCUGGGAAAAGCAAACCGUAUAACUUAUUCUAAAAUACAGUUUUUACUGAUCCCCUGGUUUUCUGCAUGGCAUGUUCAGAAUGUCAAUGCAUAUAAAAACCAGACACUUUCCUGUGUUCCUGAGAGACCACUGCUUACAAAAGGACAGCAGUAGGCCAAGGGGAUUGUAAUUAUGUGUUGACCUCUCACUUCCUGAGAGAACUCAAUGAAAUUCAAAAUAAUUGACCAGUGCCCUGGUACGUAUUGGUCUCUCCCUUUGGGAUUAAUAAGCUCAGGGAUCUUUGGCCUCUGAGGUGCCUGACCUUGGUGGGACACACACAGAGGCACCAUUUGGAUCAGCAUGAAGAAGGAUCAAAGCUGAGAGGGAGCAGUGGUGGUCACUGCCCCACAUGGCACUGAGACAUCUUGGUUCUUUGCCUCUUAUGGGCUCCAUGGACUUCAAACCUUUGUCAUUCCUGUGCCACAGAAGAGCUGUUGCCAUGAGAUUACAAAUUUGCCAGUGGCUAGGGAAAAAAACAAACAAAUCAAGGAAGCUGAAGAGAAUGAGGGAGAAAAACUUCAUAGUGUGAUGGAGAGGCCAUCCAUGCAAGGUUUGAGAUUCACUUCAGGGCUGGUGAUACUUGGUGCAUUCUUAGAGGAUAAAAUCCAUAAGUACUUUUCCCCCAGUAAAGCUGAUUAGUGUUCAUGCAACCCUUGGCUCUUUCCAGUUCCAGCACUAACUCAGCUCUUCACUCAGUGCAGUGCAGGCUUAUCCUUAAACCAGACAGGUUAAUCCCAGGUCUGAAAUGUCUUUGCAAGUCCAUGUGUUAGACCAGAGGUGAUUGGAUUUUUGAGAAAACUCUUCAGUCUCUACUGUUGGUUGGCUGAAGUGUCCCACCACUCUCCAUGCGCUCUGUUGUCACACCUGCUUUUAGGAGCCUGACUUUUCUGAGUGAAUCAUGCAGAAAGCUCUUUCCCAGGUGUGAGCUGGGUGAUCCCAAGUGGGAGCAGGGGUGAAGACCCUCCCUAUCCCACACAGAGCUGUCCUCACCUGAGUCUAGCCCACUGAGUACUUUUAUCAGCAUCUCUCCUGCUGGUAGAGUAAAAUCAGUCAAUUAUUUCUGCAGGAAUUAAAUUAUGGCUGCAUUGUAUAUCACAUAGUGAGGUGUGGGUUUUGCAAUUGUCUAAAAAUACAUUUAAAUGCAAUAUUUUACCGAAAAGCUAAUUUAUACUGAGACAUGACAGAGGUAGUUCUGUAAGCUCUGAUAUUAAUAACAAUAUUAUCUUCUUAUUCACAUCUCACUUGAGGGACCCCAGUAUCUAAUGUGGUUCAGAUUCAAAACAGUUUUUCUUUUCCAUGUCUUUAUUUAUCAGAACUCACUCUGUUGUCCUGAGAAGGUGUGUUACAUCAGUGUUUUCCCUUCAAACUGCCUGUUUUGUGAAUUUUUAGGAUCUGGAUUUGUGUGCUCAAAUCAAUCAAGAGACUGUGGGUGGAACAAAAGGAAAAGACAAAAAAUGAGAGUGUGUUUCAAGAAAAAUCUGGUUUUGUGUUUCAUUUUCUUGAUGGAAAAACUGAUUAAAAUUGCCUGUUCAUUAUGUUUCCCUAAUUUGAGAUUUAAAUGGUGUUUGGGGUUUGGCUUUUUUUGUGUUUGUUCUGUAUUUCACUAAGAACACAGGCAAUUUUAUUGUUUUAAUGCUUAGGAGGCUCUGAACAUUGGACAAGUAGACUUUUUAUUCUUUCCAAAGCCUCCAUCUGAAACUGUGCUUUUCAAGCUCAAAAAUAUGCUUUUAUCCUUGGAAUGACUUUGGUAAUCACAUGACUUCUUUUCCUCCCCAUGAAAUUGUUUUAUUAUGUGAAUGAAUGUGAAUAUGCACAACCAAUGAAGUUCCUAAGCUGCAGGAAAGUGGCUUUGUUUUGUUUAGGUUUUUGUUGCCCAUUUAUGUUCCCUGCUGGGGGUUGUACAGCAGAAAGGUUUAUUUACUCUGGACAGUUUUCAAACACAGACAUCUCUGACAACAAGAGUUUAGCAAGUGUAAUUCUCUUUCAUAAAUUCCUUUCUUUCAGAAGAUGCACACCAUUUAUUACAGUUGUCAUGAAAAGUCAACUUUUAAAAUAGUUUGAUUAAUUAUUGAGGACUUGUAACCUUAUAAAAUCCUUGACACCAAAAUGCAGAAACAUUACUUGAUCCAGCAAGGAAAAUGCAAGUGGCAAAUAACUCCUACUUUGCACCCCAAAUCAAGCUGUACUAAUCUCAUGACAGAUCACAUUUUACACAGCUUUUAUCUGAAGAACCCCAGAGGUUUUGCCAUCUGAAAUAUUCACCUGUAAGGUGAAUUGAUGUUUAUCACCUCAAAGUCUUAUAUUAGGAAGACACCAUGACCAAUACUUAGUUAGCCUAAAACUGGUAGCGACUCUAAUCAGCUGAGUGUAACCUUGCUAACCACUGCUUAAGGGGAAACCAAAAUGCCAGAAUUCUGCUCUGGGCUUACCAACUAACUGGUAUUCAAUUAAUCUUAGGAUUAAAAUUAAAGAAAUCUGAGUAGUCAUUUUAAAUAUUACACUUCUGACAAAUUUCUCUCAAAUCCAUUUAAAAAAACCUACAGCCUGAUUUUUGAAAAGAGUUUAGGAGCUCUCUAAAAUGGCAGUGUAUAAUUGAAAUUCCAGUGAUGUGCCAUCAGAUUUGAAGUAGCACAUUGUCUUCUGUCUGAUAACACACAGUGAUACCGAGCCAGCCCUGAGGAAAUCCACUCUCUGAUAAAGCUCCAAGGGAAUAAAAAGAAGAGGCAUCACUUGGGUCAAGAGUCCAAGCCAUUCCUAUCAUGAGCAAUAAUAUCAGUACAAACCCUUCUGGCAAGUGGAUUAGGCUUACUCUCAGAAAUCUAAGUUGCCCUGAAGCUCUUCUUGGAGGACUGUAGCAGAAUUUUAUUCCAGCUUUCAUUUUACUUCAGCCAGUUUCCAGCCACUGAUUUGGGAUGCAGAUGUUUUAGCCUUUCCUCCUCACUUGUCUGAGUAUUUGCCCUUUUAAAGUGUUUAAAACAAAUAAUAGUUCUCUUCUUCACCCUUUUUUAGACAAGCUGGCUCUUCUACUCUCCUUAAAAAAGGCUUUCAAUUCCUCAUCCUGUUAUAGUGGUCCCUCAAACUGACCUCACUGAGGAGAUUAUUCCUUACAAAACCCCCCUCCCAGAGUUCUAGAGGAGGUAAAUCACUCAGUGGUUGAUACUUCUCUGCCUCCUCCUUACCUUUCUCUCCCCAGCUGUGCACUCUCAUGUCCUGCCCAUGGUACACAGGGGACUUGGGGAUCAGCUUCAGAUUUCCUAAUAAAGAGAAGGCUUUUUCCUCUGUCACUGGCCACAGGUAAAGCUAAGGCUCAUAGUAACAUUUUAUUUUUAUUAGAAGUAGCUAUGUGUUAUUAAAUUUUUAUCCUCCUUAUUUAUUCUCUUAAACAAGAUCCUCAACAAAUAAAAUUCCUGUGUAUAAUUUAGCCUCAGCAUAUGCUGACUAUGCCUCCCUCAGUCAUCAGGAGCUCCCAUAAGUGCUCCCCUACUUUUUGAACCAACACUAUUAAUUAAAAUACUAAAUAAACAUGGUCCCAGAUGUGAAGCUGAGGAACACCAGUAGUGAUCAUCUUUAUGAACAGCAUUUUCCUAUUCAGAACACUUAAACAAAAAAAUCGUACAGUUUUUAUACUGGUCCCUUCUCCAUUUUCAUAAUUCCAUUAUUUCUCAUCUGAUUCUACAUUGUCUAUUUUUCACAGGCACAGACUGUGGCAUUCAGGUCAUAGCUGCCUUUAGAUAGAAAUACAUUUUACAUUAUGAGCAAAGCCAAGUGCCUUAGAGAUUUCUUAUCUGAGGUUGUCUAUGCCAAUGUUUUCAUAGCCUAUCAUAUAAUCUAGGAAAUGUAAUUUUUCCAUGCUUUUAAUAGUUUUUAUUGAAAACAGAAUAAGCAUAAAUUAAGUUGCUCAAAGAUGAAAAAUGCAGUAACUAAACUGAUUCAGCUUAGCUGAAACAACAAAUUAAUUCAAGUGAGUAUAUCUGCAAAUUAAUCCACCAGUUAUGAAGGCAAAGUCUAAAGCUGAUACUAGAAUAUUUUAGUUUCAUUUAAGAAGACGCUGUCUAACCUGAAGGGUGCAUAAGAAGCAAAUGCAUUGAGGUCAGGUGCCCCAAGUACUUCUCAGACUGAAGUCUAAGGACUGAGCUAUUGAUAGUGGUAAAGCAAGAGUCGCUCAACAUGGAUUUGUUGGGUACUAAACCCUCUCAAACCCCAGUGGGAAAGGCUGGUUUGGAUUGUCUUAUGGCAACCUUAACUUCUGUAGCAUUGCUUUUGUUACCUGCAGUCAGGCAGUGGAGGCUUUGUUGGGUUCAGUUGAGCUGGAACAACUCAGCCUGGCCAUAGCAGUGCCCCAGGUAUUUCACCUGUUUCUCCUGGAAGGCCUGGAGAAAGGAAGAGAAGAAAGGAAUAUCUGGAGCCUCCAAAAUUGCUCAUUGGUCAUUUGAGAUGCAUUUUACCUUCAUAGAACCUUUGCAUUUCAUAAGUCUCAUUAGCUUUAGGAAUUAUUCCCAUGACUUCAAGAUCUCUGAGAGCCCAUCUGGUCUGUUCCCAGGGAGCAAAAUCCUCAGGGUGAAUCAGAAAAUAUUUAAUUCCAGAAACGCACAGAACAGGAUACGUGAGUGGUUACUGCUUGUAAUGUUACACCACCAGGCUUCUGACAGAGGUGGUGAGAACAACACCCAUGAUUAGUAACUAAUCAGUAGCUAAUUUCUUAAAGUUGCCCAAUGAUCUCAUCAUGGUUUUUCCAUGUACAUGUUCUUGUCAUUGCAGUUAUUUCCCGCACUCUCCUUUUUCCCUUUUAAGAAUUCCCCCAGACCCUUUGCUAAAUAGAAAUCUGGGAACCACCAGGUCUUAAUGCACAAACUCUUUUUACUUUUUAUGCAAAAGAUAUGGAAAGAAUAUGCAGUAUAAUUUAUGUACAAAGAGACUAUGCAUAUGUAAUUAAAGGUUUCAAAGGCCAUUUUAUCUCAAACCUCAUGAUUUUCAUCUGCAGAAUCCCUUUUACCAUGGUUUGAGUUCUGAUUUUUGAAUUUCUGUCUAUGACUGCUUGGCCUGACGUGGUCAGUUCUGUGAGAUCUGACAGGACCUCAGGCAAGGCAAUGGGUUUCUCUGCUGCAAUUACCCAGCCUUUGUGUGAAUAUUCUGUAAAGGUUUACAUUUGCCCAUAUAUUAAUCUAUGGAUUGUCUGUAAUGCAAUAACAAAUUUAUUACUAUAACUGAGCAAUGAAGGAGAGCAGUGGCUUCAAAGAAUCAGCCAGCUAUAGGAACUUGCAUGCUUGAAGAACUUAUUCUAUCCUUAAGCACAGGCCAUCUGUGUGAAAUUUUUUACCUGGGAGAAAACUAAGUCUGUGCUUUCCUCUGUGUGUGUGUGCAGCUCUUGUCAACAUUAAUUGCCAAAUUCAUAAAAAAGUAGACCCUGAACUGUUGUUUCAGAGCCAGCAGCACAGCAGAUCUUACAGCUGUGUAUUUGUAAUUGUGCCACGGCGAAACAAGCCCUGGAGCACGCAAAGAGACUUGGAGAUUUCCCACCUCUCUGACAGCUUUUCUGACUAAUUCAGCUGUGCUGGCAAGUCCUGCCAGUUAGCACAUGCUAUUUUCAGAAUAAAAUGGAUCCAGCACCAGGCAAGAGGCUCCAGUAGUGACGUUUCCCCUUUGUUUCAGAGAGGUGUAUUUAACCCUUCUGCCAUCUCUAAUGGCCGUUAUGUGGGUGUGAUGUGACAUGAAAGAGCCUCUUGAAUAUUCACAAAAUUUUGGCUUCUCCCUGCACAAUUGUUCUUUCCUUAAAUUCUGACUCCAGGAGAAGGCCUGUUUUGUAGGAGUUCUUCCCUUUUUGUUCGCUUGUCUGAGAAUCUUGCUGGCCUGGGAAAAUGGCCUGGCUUGAUGUUUAAUUCCCAGUUCUGUCUUCCUUGAGGGAUCUCAGUGCCGCUCCACCCCAUCACCUCAUCUGGCCUUGCUCUGCCUUGGGGCAGGGGUUCUUCUCCAGGCCCCUGGCACUGGCUCUGCACAGCCAGCAACUGGGCAGGACAAACCUCCCUGUCCCUCUUGGGAUGUCCCAGUGAAACCUUCCACCUGACUCCAGUGGCACCUCCCAGCCCUGUCCCUGCGUGGGUGGCUGGGACCUCCCUUCCUUUGACAAGGCUCAUGCUCUCUGCUCUUUCCCAGCUGGAACUUGAUUAGAUUUGAAUUUUAUUGUGAAGGAGAUACAAUAAUAACACAAAGAAAGAGUAAAGAAUGCCUGUAGGAUUAUUUUGUUUGGUUUUGCUUAAGAUAUGGAGUAAACAAAGAAGGCUUCUUCCAACGGGAAAUUAAUCUAUUCUGUCAAAAAUAAAUGAAAAUAUCCUUGCAGAAAAGGGCAAUAGAGAUAAUAUUUUAUGCAUAAAGACUACUGGAUUAACUUGAGUGACCAGUCUUCUCUUUUAUGCAAAGUUUCUAUGCAUAAAAAUUAAUGCAGGUAAGAUUCAUUACUCAAGUUUUGAGCCAUUUUGACUGUGAGAGCAUUCCUUUUUAUUUGCUCUGGAGUCUCUGUAUUCUUCUAAAACAGGAGAUCAUUCUAAUUUAUUCUUUUAGAGCCCACUGAAGGCCUGUUUGUCUGGUGUUCUGCAGUUCUCUGGAGACUGCUCUCUAAAUGUAUGCCAAGGUGGUCAUUGGCUUCUUUUAAGCAUAACAUCCUGAGAGCUUUGGGACAAGAUGGAGUGAGGAAGUGAAUGGACUUGGAAUGUGGAUUUCAGUAGCAGCAUGGACAUUGCCCAGCACUGAAAGUUUGGUGAAAAUGGAGUUGGUUGCUUUUGAAAAAUUGCCCAAACUUAUUUUGUAUUUUAGCAAAGCAAUUUUCCAUUCUCUUUGUUGUUACAACCACCUAAACCAUCUGUCUGCAAAGGAAGAAAACAAAUUGCCCUGCAGGUGAUAUUCAGCAUCAGAAUGAUCAGACUAAAUGAGUGAAGUUUGGCAAAAUUAUAACUAACUAAAAACUGCAUCUCCUGAUGUCAAGUGUCAGAACAGUUUUAGUGAAGAGUAUUUUUCUGCUUUAUCACAUUUAUAGCAGAAUCUUAGUGAGUCCUAGAAGGAAAUAAACACUGUUUAAUGUCUGUGAAAGUGAAAACAGAGGUGUUUUUCUUGUCCUGUUUAAAUGUCUCCUUGUGUUAGUAUUGCACUACUCAGCAUAAAAGUCUAAAUGGAUUUCCUCAGCUAACGAAGUGAAAUAGUCCAUAAUAUGCCCCAGCUCCUGCAGCCCCAGUGCCAGCUUGUGCCAUUAGAAGGAUGAUAACUUAUAGGAAUCACUGUAAUUCAGUCAAACUUGAAAUAAAAACUGUGGAAAAUAUGUUGCUUUGGGGGAGAUGAAAAUAUACCAGCAAUAUUGAUCUUAGUAGCAUAUGAUGUUCGUGCUGCAUUCCAAUGUGGCAGGACAAAACAGAAACGCAGAGCUGGCUGCCUGUCACAUGGCUCAGCAGCCUUGUGCAGGCAGGGAUGUUGCUUUGUGUCUCCUCCCAGUUCCUCUUCCCUCCUGAUUAGGAAGAGGUACCAAAGCAGAGCCUCCUGGGUUUCUGGUUGUUUGCUUUGCUCAGAGAAGUUUUGGAUUUGUUUGUUUUGAAUAAAAAGCUGUUCCUUGAGGCUAGGACAUAAAAGAGGUUUGGCAGUGGAAGAGCUUAUUAUUUAGAGUGGAUAAUUCUUCUCUAAAACUGUAAUUCAUCUGAAAGAUAUGUAGGACCCUGUCCUUCUCUCUCCCUUAAAUUUUUGCUUUCCCUUUUUUCUUUAGAUACUGCAACAUUUUCAUUCUUAUAUGCCAAGAAUGAGGCUUAGACCCAAUAUAACCAUAUGGUCUGUAUCAAAAAAUGAUGAAACCUUAAGGCUAGCAAUAUCUGAAGAUUCUUGUUUAUUUGGGGGGAAAUAUAUAAUCUAUAAGCAAUUAAUUGAUGAAUAUUGAAUUAAUCUAACCAAACAAACAUAUUCCUCAACAUCAUUCUCUGAUAUCAUUUACAAGCCUUGGGCAGAAUUUUACAAAAAAAAUUAUUCCCUCUCUUUGGCUAAAAACAAACUUAACACUUGCUUUCAACACAGAAACUGUCACUGAAGCUGAUUAAGCAUGCUCUAAAUUAUUGUAGUUUACAAGACAAUAGCAAAAAAUACAUACAUACAUAUAUAUAAAUAAAUAUAUAUAAAAUACCAAUCCAUAUGGUGCUAAUAUGGUGCUAUGGAAGCAUUUCUCUCCAGUAGUAUAUGUUUAGAAAAUGUCUCUCUGUGCCAAGUGCUUGAAGCAGUUUCAGAGUAGGUCUUCGACUAGUGCCACAAAGUUCUUCUGUUCUUCUCAGCUACAAAAUCCUGGGAACAGCUGCAGACCUGGAGCUGUGUCUGUGUCUUCAAGAUCAUUUCUAGGGCAGAGGCCUAGGUGCUUUGGUUUGGUUUUGCAGAAAUACCAGUGAUUCCUGCAGUUGUUUGCAGUGGAGUCCCUGUAUUUAUUGCAGCAGGCAGAGGAGCUGUACCUGCCUCUGAUCUCACAGCCAGACCUGGUACCUGGGACUGGCUGCACCCAAUGGGCCUUGGCAGGUGGGAACCUGCUGCCUCUGCCAUUCAGCACGGAGCAGCAAACCAGGGCAGCACUGUAGAGGCAGCUCAAUGCUGGAAGGAAUGCGCAAGUUCAAGUAUUUUCUCCCUUUUGUCACGUUUUCAUAAAUUUUUAAGCUCUUGUAGCUCUUUUAGGAGUGGCAGGAAUUUCUCCUCACUCCAAACUACACAGCAAUUCUUUAUCAUUUUCAUUCUGCUACCUGAAUUUUGCAAGUAAAUGUUUCUGUUAGAGAGGAUUAUAAACGCUGAAACUUUUCUCUCCCAGUUACUAGGGUAGGAUUGUGUGCAAUCUCUUUCACAGUUCUGGCUACCAAGCUGUCGUCAUCUCCCUCAGUCAUGUUUGUGUCUGAGGACGUGGUGCUGGCACCAUCUUGGUUUAGCUCUGCUGUGCCUCUUCUCCUUCUGUUCUCGUGCUGAUCCAAGUCCCAGAUUUUUCCUUAACAGGAAAGUGCAUGUUAUGUUUCUGUCACUGCAAAUUCUCAUUUUAGUUGAAUACUCCUGUUUUUAACUUUCCAAUCCAUCAGCACAAGGUAGCCUAGCAGGGCUUUGUUGUGAGUGCCACGCCUGCUGAUCUGAGCUCAUUGUUGCUCCUGACAGCGUGUGCAGCCUCAGGGUCCCACUGGUGCAGAUUCCAAGUGGGACCAUUCCCAGGAUUGAGGAAGCCUGGCUCUUGGGGCAGGGGCAGCACUGCAGGAGGCUGAUGCUCAUAUUUUUGGUCUAUUUUUGGAUAAGAAAGAGUAGCUGGACAAAUUGCUGGGGAUGAUAGUAGGUAUGUCAUGCAGGAAGAUUUCAGUACAGGCAGGUGGCUGUACUUAGCAGAUACUGCCAGAGAUAAGAUUUUAAUCUAUAUUUAAAUUGCCUUAAUGAACAGACUGGUUUGUAUUCAAAACUGUUUUCAAGGUACACAAAAAUGGCAGGAGAAGAAAUACUGCUUUGAGAAAAAUUUAGGAAUAUCUGGUGAAAGACAGAAGUUUCAUCAAUUUAUUCAGAGUGGAUUAAUUAUUUUUCCACAUGUGAUUUCUAGAAACUAUUUCCUAUACAUAGUCUUUUGAACAAAUAAGUAAUGUACUUUUCUAACAAUCUAAAAUUCUGACCUUUCAUUUUUGUCCCCUUUUCAUCCCUUCAGUUCUGCAACAAUGUAGAACAUUGUCCUCCAUGUGCCACAUGAAGUCUUCAGUAAGUUUUUAAUAUUCUGUACAAAAAGGGAAGUUUAGAUGUUUAUAUUUUUUUUCUUUUUUUAGCAGAAUGGAGGGACUAGGGAUGGGAUUCUUUGAUAAAAAUGUCUCCUGAGACUCUUAUCUUGUUCUGUAGAAUGUGCAGAUAAAUUAUAGCUUUGAAGACACUGUAGUCUGGUCCAAGACAAUUUAUCUACUGAAUUUAUGAGGCCAGAUUCUCUGCUAGUAAUUAUUUGGAUGGAGCUAAACAGAUUUACACCAAAAAUGUGUAUGUUGCUGAUGUGUGAAGGAUAUGGAUUGCAGGAAAUAUGAUGAGACAUUGGGAAAACAAGCAUUGAGUAUGCUGAAGAAGCCUAGUUUAGAAAACCAAUUAUAUUUUUAUAUAUUUCUGUAUUGAAAUGACCUUUCAGGACAGAAUAAUCAAGAUAUGUGAAUAACAACUCGUUAAAGCAUAAAUUGUUAGGGAUGGAAAGGACUUCUAGCGAUCACAUAAUCCAACUCCCAAGGAAGACAAUCUAGAGAUUUUUUUUUUCCAUUUUCUUUUUACCUCUUUCAUCUUUGAAUGUUUUCUUUCAUUGCCAGUAUGCACAGAGUGAAACUUUUAAAAGUAUAUGCAUCAGGGAUACAGGCAAAUGCACACUGAAGGAUGCUGGCUGUGAUGUGCUUCUGUUCUCUCUCAGCAGAUCAGUGGGGUGAGGAAGGAACAGAGAGAACCACCAUGCUUAUACCUUGGAAAUUUUCCAGGGUUGGAGACCUUGGGUCCUUGUUUACACACUGUGGCUAUGCCCAAACACAGUUUUGUGAAACUUGGAUCAAACUCCUUGUUGUGUGUGCGUCUGAUUCAGUGCUGUGCUGCCUCUUGCAAACAGAGCUUUUGAAGUUUGUGUGGCCCCUGUUUGUAACGCAGGGCAGAUGAGAAGGUGUUCCAGAGCCUGCACACACAGACUCUGGGAUCUGGGACCCCUGAGCUCUCUGGGACUCACUCACCACGAGACACUCAGCUCCUUCUCUCUGCUCCCUUUGCCAGUAGAGCUGGGCCUGCAGGGCCUGCAGAUGAUUCCUGUCAGAAGCAGGUCUGGGAGCUGUGCUGCUGCUCCUGCAGGACCUGCAGAUGAUUCCUGUCAGAAGCAGGUCUGGGAGCUGUGCUGCUGCUCCUGCAGGACCUGCAGAUGAUUCCUGUCAGAAGCAGGUCUGGGAGCUGUGCUGCUGCUCCUGCAGCACAUCUGCACACAGCCAGAGCCCAGGCAGCUGAGCAGAGCCCAUCUCUGGGACCCAGCGCCACUCAAGAGCAAUUCCACUGCAAAGUGGCUGAAGUGAUUAUAGCCUUAGAGGAGUUGCCAAAUUAGAGAAACAGGUAUCAGUGAGUUUUACUCAGUGUUAGCAAAUAAACAUGGAGCGUGCAGAGUGUGGUUACCUGGGGAAAUUUAGGGAGUUUUAAUCCUCAGCUUGGAAAUCAAAGCAUUAGCACAUAAAAAGGGAAAUAUGAUGGACCUUUUGUUUCCAAACACUGUACAUAGCUCAGGCUUUCUGGCAAUGUCCAUGGGAUUAUAUUCAUUCCUUCUGAAGCUGCAAAUUGAUUAAAUUACGUCAGUGAAAGGCCACUAAUGACACGUUUUAGCUUGCUUUCUGUUGCAGCAGCAUGUUAAUCUACAUUUGGAAUUUGAAUGACAUGGCGGCUGCUGUUCCAAGGAGCUGUUGGUCACUCAUGAUCUAAUGAAGCCUCUGACCACAGCUCUUAGAAAACAAAAGAUGGAAAUCCUGCAAGUCCUGCUUCUUAUCCACAUCGACAGUGGUGGAAUAAGACUGCUUUGUUCCAAUCUUGUUUCAUGGGUAUGUGGAAUUUUUAAAGUGCUCUCUAGGUGUGGUGCUGAAACAUCUUUUCCCAAAUCUUGUUCUGUUUCUUCUGAAAGUUCCAACACCCCUCUGUGUGUGUGUCACUGUACCUUGGGUUUGUGUACAUUUAAUUGCUCAUACCCAUAAAUGAAACCAGAGAUUCUCUUGUUUCUUCUCCCCAGGUACAGAAACCCAAAUGCACAGGGAUGGAUUCCUCUGGCUCACUGGGGACUCCUGUCACGAGCUCUCAGUAGAAUCUCAUCUGGUUUUAUCCCUUGAGUUCUCUGCAGCUAAACUUUAUAUCAUAAUAGCUCUAUGUGCUCCCUUCCCACCCUGUUUCCUGAGCUAUAGUGAGACUUCUUGACACCUCAGGAGAACUCUCUGUAUCUUGCAUCCUGUCCUUUCCCCGUGUCCCUCUGCCAUCACACUGUCUCUAAUUAUAGUGCCACAGUCAUGUCUCUUUCCCCUGGGUGGCAGCAGCAGCUCCUGUGGUUCAAAUAAAUGUGUUCCUUAUGGUGCCUUCAUCAACUUCAUGGACCUGAGGUAUAUACUGUAUAUUAAGUGUAUUGUUAAAGUGCAUUUAUUAAAUAUUUCAGAUAAUUUGAUUUGAAUUGUGAAGUUAAUUACAAAAUAUUUAAACAGCUACAUAUUCAUAUAAUUCCCUAGACUUUAAAAGAGAUUCAGGCAUUACUUAAAGCUGCACCUUCAGAGUAUUUUUAUCUCUAAAACUUGUAUAAUCAGGCCUCAUUAUUGUACCUAAAUUAGUAAAAUUUACAUUUCUGUCUUCCCAUCUCAAUAUAAACCACAAUUAUUUAGUUUCCCAUUUAGAUAAUCCCUAAAAUGUGAUUCACAUCUCCUUUAUGCACUGCUAUUGUCUUUAAUUAAAUUAGUUCUUAUAGCAGUCUCAGGUACCAGCACAGUUAUUGCCUCAGUUCUGAGCACUCUUCCCUGAUUUGAUCAGGUUUCUGGAGUCCCAGACCAGGUUUUCUGCAAAGCUUGUUUGCUGUGCAAGCACCAUCAGUGCUCAUUUCUGCAGGGAAGUGAAAUGUUUGGGAAAACUUGGCUGUAGUUGUUGGUGUGGAGCCAUGCAGUCAGUUCCAGGAGUUUAUUUCCUCAAGUUCUCUCAAAGCUGGGGGAUGAGGAGUCCCUUUGUAGUAUGUAACAAAGCUCUGGAUAGCUCUGAAGUGAAGUGAAUACUUGUGAAAAUCUCUCUUGGGGUCAUGUCUUGUUGAUGUGGAUCAUCAGCAAUGGCAAAGUUAGAACUGUGACAGCAAGAGAAACAUAGAAAUUUCCUAUGAAACAAAUUUUGAGAUUAAAUUACAAAAAGUGGCCUUCUUUAAAGCUUUUGAGGUUAAGUAUCAGACCGUUUUGCUAGUCAGCUGUGUACUUGUGUAUGUCAUUUGAAAUGCAAUUAUACAAGUUAAGAAUUUGAUAUUAUUUUUUUGAACAUCAGUUUUCACAGCAGGGGUGAAAUUGAAAGCUGUGAACCACAGCCCCUGAAAAUUGGCUUUUCAUAGGAACUUCAGACUGCAAUUUCUCCUGUUAUUGGCUAGUCUGGCAACACAGUCAUCCCUAAAUAAACUGCACUACGUUUUAGCCAUGUGAGUGAUUGUCCUGGUAGUAGUAAAGCUGUGAUUUAUUCCCUUGAGGAAUUUCAUUGUAUCUGUUCCUUUCUAUGAGGUUCUUGAAGGACAUGUUUCACAUAAACCAGCUUUACUUUGUCAAUCAACAGAGUCACUGGGAACCAAGGCUCCAGAAAUCCUGUAGGAUCCUCCCACUCAGUAUUGCCUGGCAAGCCAAUUAGCUUGAUAUUUUUAUCUCUAACCUGAUUUGGAACUAAUUGUAAAUUACUAUUUUAUCAUUCUGUUUUCUGUGAUAAAUGCCCUACUCAAUUAUUAUUAGAGCUGCUCCUAGGACAGCUGAAUCUCCUUCUAUCUAUGCCAUACCUUGUGGCUUUGCAAUGUAAGGAGGAUACAGAAGCACCUCAUCCUACCUCACUGAGUCUUGAUUUUGUCCCAGAGCACAGGGGAAUGUGUUCACUCUUUGAGACAGGCAGGAUUUUCUAGCACACCCUUCACUGUGGUAAAAGUACCUUUCUAUGAGAAGCUUCAUGUCAGUUGUUUAAUAUCUGUCAAGUUACCUUCAAAGCAAAGCCCAGUUCUCUACACUAAAUUAAGAAAGUUUGAGCUGCUUCACAUUUUAUUCCAAAACAGUGUUCUCUGCUUUUUAUUUGAUUUUUUUUAAAUCUCAGAGUCUACCACAAGACAAUGUUUAUUAAAAGCUUGAAAUGCAGUUUUUACUACAGAGUGCAUCUACUUCAAUGCAGUUUUGAAGCAAAUCUUUCAGUCCUUCCCAUUUACUGCACCUAGCCUGACAUCACUGGUGUCUAAGUGGUGUCUAAGAGCACACAGAUUAAAUUCCUUCUGCUUAAAAUUACUUAAAACUAUUAAAAUUAUUACUGGAAAAUGGACUCUAGGAACACCUGUAGAUGUCCAUUAAGUAGCUGGAGAAUGUCAGUUCCCAGUCCACACCAGAGCUUAACCAAAGUGACACAUAUUGCAGAGUCUGUGUCCUCAGCACCAAGGGCUUUGCUGUGCAGUUGUUGUCCUGUCUCACUUCUCAGGAGCACUGAGCUGAUGGACAUGUGAAUCUUGAACAAAAAUGAGAGCCUUGGUCUGAGAGGCUCCUGCUUGCCCCAGUUUUGGGAAGUCCACUGGAGGAGCAGGAUUAGAGGCAAAAAUCUCAGCUCAUUCCUGUCUGCCCCAUUCCCCAUCUCUGUGCCUGCUGUGCUCAGGAGCUGAGGCCCUGGGCAGCUGCUGCAGCUGAGCUGAGUGAGAGUUGUGCUGCUCUGCCUUGGCUCAGACCAGUCCCUGAUCUGAGACCCAGAGCAGGAGGGGCACACAAGCAGUUUGCAGUCUCAUUUUGCAGUGUCUGCCCAAGUGAAGUCUCUCUAGUUACAGCUCCCAGGAAUCACUAGAGUCAUACUCAGCUGGAAAGACCCCUGAGGAAGGAAGGAGAUUGGAACCACAGGUGCUUCCCAAAGCUGCUGCUUCCCUACAAACCUUGCUGCGUAUAACUACUGUCAGAAAAUGCAGGAAUUGUCUACGCAAAAUUAAUCCUCUGCAUCUGAGCUUUCCUCACUCUAGGGCAGUGACAAGCAGAAGCAAUUCUUUUCCACAGGAAGCUGAGCUCAUGGAGUUGUGUAUUGAAAAUCUCACACAAAAAUUAACUUGGUGCUCCAAAUCCCUGAUAUGAGGCCUUUUCCUUCAGCAUUUUAAUCAAGGCCUUUGCUACAGCAAAUGUUUAGCACUGUAAGUAAUUGGUAGAGACUGCUGACAUGAUAAAACUGUGGCAGGUUCAGCCUAAUCUGAAAAAAAUCCCUGAGAACAUUAAUUGCAUGAGCUGACCCAGUGAAUCAUCAAAAAAGCAAGGCAUAAUGCAAAUGUUGUGCACAGCAAGUAGAACUAUACCUGGCAUGUUUCAGAAAGCCAACACUGAGAAGAAAUAAAACUGGCUGCUCCAAGUGGAGCAUUUCCCAGGUUUUCCAUGGGAGCUGCUCCUCAGAAACCCCCUUGGUCUGUUUGUCACUAUCCCUUUGGCAACUGGGACAAGUAUGCAGAUGGCAAAAUACCGUGACUGCUUUUAGCAUCACAAAGUCACUUUGGUAUUGAAAGUGCACAAAGUCAUGAUCUUAUUGGAAAAAUUCUGAACAUCUGAGUCAGAGCCACUUGGUAAUUGAGUCAAGGCUUGUAUGAUUCAAGAGCUGUACGUGGUUAGAAAAGUUGUUAGAAAUUACAGUGUUAGAAGUCCUUUUCUCUAAGCAAAGAGAAGCUUGAGGACACUGGGGACUGAUGGCAGAGAGAAAAGAGCAAGUUUGUAGACAGCCAGAUAACAAAACAAAUACAAGUAAUAUCGAGUAGAUAUAAUUUGAUUUCUGUAUUUUAAAAACUGCCAAUACCUGUGAAUUCUAGUGGUCAGUACUGACCAUCUUACUGACACCCUGUUUGCCAAGCCAUCCUUUCUGGGAUUUAUUGAGCCAUUCCAAAUCUCUGGGCAGAUUCAAGCAGCUGCAUUUCCUAAUGAACAGCUAAAGCUGUAGGUCUGUCUUUAAUACCAGGCGUAGAUGGUACUGCCCACUGAGACCAAGGGAUAUCCCAGUGAGAGUUCUCAUGUCUGUAGCAUCUUUUGGUUUAUUAAGCCUUGAAGGAAGUUUUGAACCACAAAAAUAAGAGAAGUGACAGCAUCCUAACGACGAAAUUAUUUUUUCCUGGCUGUGAAAAUGCCAAAGCAGCCAUGUUUUGUAGUGAUCUUUUCUAUCAUUAGGCUGUUUCAGGCAAUAAAUGAUAAGGCUUCUCUCCUUUGACUCAGGCACAAAUGGGAUUCUUUAUGGAAAUAGAAUCAACAAUUAUUUUCAUUUUUAGAAAUGUCAAAAUGUCUGUUUCAUAACAUAAUUCUUAAUGAUGGAAAAAUUCAUAUGCAGCCUCUAGUGAUGUAAGUUAAAAAUAAUACCUGUAGUAGUACUAGUAUAUUCAUAUAACUAUAUUUUUAUUUUCAAUAAUUAAAAUAAAAUUUUGUUAAGAUCACCUAACUAAUAAUUUGUUUUGUAGAAAGUGGUAACAGUAACCUCCCUUGAAAAACAUGAAUCUGAGAAUUUCACCUAAGAAUUACCUCGAGACCGCCCUUCAUGCUGAGCUAAUGGUUGUUUCUCCCAGUGACAACCAACCUAGAGUGAAAGGCUGAAGCAAUAAACAAUCUUUUACAUCUUCUGUAGCAAUCUCAUAGAAGGCAGAGUUUUUACUGCAAGACAAGAUCUUUUUGUUGGACAUUGGACUGGCAAGGAUCUACCAUCAGCUGUGUCUUCUGAUCAUUGUUCAACAGCAUGGAUGUUGCUUGGAUCACUUGUUCUUCCUUUUAAAUGCAAGUAUUGAAUCUGUCUCAUUUUAAGACUGGAAUGUGAAGGUGAAAUAUAUAACAAGUUUCUGAUUUCAGAACCGGGCACUAAGGUAUCAGAUAUUUUAGCAUUUGGAGCCAUAGAGUGGCUGUUCCCAGUUGUGUUGAACUCUUCAACCUUUGCCUCCUCCCCAUGAAUCUUUUCAUGUGGGCAACAAAUGGGUUAAUUUGCCAUGCAGCAUGAACCUGCCUCACACCCUACAGAAAACUGUAAAAGAAGGGGAUUUUAUUUUCCAGAUUACUUUUAAGAUCUGUGACAUUUUCCUUAUGAUGUUCUCCCAUUUUUGCCUUUAAAAAAAUAGUGGGUCUGAAAAAUCUUUUUAUUUUAUUGUUCUUUCCUUCCUGUAGUUCAGAUUGAUUACUGGAAGUUCCGACUUUCUCCCUCCAUAUUUUGCAGUUGUAAGUACCUUUCUCUCUCUGAUUCAUACCUUGUAAAAGCCCUUUUAGGAUCCUCAUUUGCACCAUUAACCUCCUUUGGAGUGGUUAUUCCUUUGGAGUCCAGUUUUACUGAGAUCUCUUUGUUUGGUACUCACAUUUUAGAAAUAGUAAUCUAUUUACAUAUUCUAAACCUUCAUGUUCAAUUUCAAAAGUUUUUCAGUCCAAUUAUUUUCAGUAAACAGUUACCAUAGUUACUCAAAGAGUCUCCUGAAGUCAAGACUGAGCCCGAUGUUUGUUCACCGUUCUGUUUAAUUUAAAUUGAAUCAUCUCACGUGCAUUUGCUCAAGGUUGUUUGGUCAGGUCUACUUGUUGCAAAUCAAGAUCCCAAUGGUACCACACUGGCAUCACUCCAUGAGAACUGGCUAAAUGUUUUGGAAAGAAACGUGGCAGCUCUCACACUAAUGACAGUGUGAAUACUACCAGCAACAGGAACAUUUUGUUUCCCUUUGCUGUCCAGAGUUAAUUCCUAUCCUGAUACAAUUUCUAGAAGGAAUACAAUUGAAAAGAUUUCUCAUUAAAUCCAGUAUUAGAAUGCUCUUGAAAAUUUUGAGCAAACUCAUUUUUUUGCUCAUCAUUCUCCAAAGUUAUUUAAUCUCAGACAAAUUCUGUUCUGUCCAUGCUGCUCACAUUUUUAUUCUCUUUGCUUCAUAACACAAGAAAAUCUGUAUUUCUGAACUUUAUUUCAGUAAUUUAUUUUUAUCACAUUUCAUUACAAUUUUCCUUAGAUGUUUUCAUCAGGUUCUUUUAAAUGAUGCAUUAGACAUGCAGGUUAAUUAUUAGCUAUUCAGACAGCUAUCUCACACACAACAGUAAAAUAUUUCCUUUACAUGGUCUUGCUAUAUAUUACUUAUUUUUCCUUUUAUUAGUUAUAUUUUUACACUCCUCAGGAAAAGGCUGCAUUGCAUAAUUCCAACUAUAAAAUGUUAUAUUUAUGUAAUAAAUUGCAGUCUUUGCCUGUUUAUAUGCAUUGGUAGUGAUUUUAAUAACAUUAUUUCUUCAGUGGCUUUUGCACCGAAAAGUGUCCAAUUUCUUCCCCUCAAAAUUACCUGAGCUGAUCUAAUAAAAGGUACCUAUAUUUUUUCAUUAUUUGUGGUGAGCAGUUUGCAAACUGCAACAAUUAAUAUGAGUUCCAAACAAACUCGCAAGGAACAGGGAAUUUCUUUAGUGGGUGAAGAACAGAUCUUAGCAGGUUGCAGUGGAAUUAGUAUUAAUGGAAGAUUACCAGGAUCCUGGAAAUCCUGCCCUCAGCUCCUCCAGACAGCAGCUUGAAAUCGUCACUCUGUGCUGAGUCUGGAGGGAUGGGGAGCAGCUGUCCUGCUUCAGUUCAAGCUGACAUGGCCAAACACCCUGAGAACAACCCAGCAUUUUGAACUGCAGUAGGGAAUGAGAGGUGCACCAGAGGCCAAAAGAUUUCAUAUUAAUAGGAAAAGGUAAAAGUUGCAUCAGAAUCUGUCCUCUUCUAAUUCUAAACAGUAGCACAUUUGUAGCAGUGUUUGCUGAGUAUAAACUCUUGGAGACCCUUCUCUAUUACCAGUAGGAAGGAAAAAUGAAUUAUUAAAAAUUGUCUGAAUUUUAUCUUCAUAAUCUGAGCAGGUUCAAUUAGUUGAGAGAUCUGUUUGCAGUCUGUGUUUGCACUUUGCUUCCCAGGCAUGUUAUUUCUAUAUUGGUUGCUGGGUUUAAUACUAAAUAAAUAUGUGAGGUUGUUCACUCUCUGUAGGACAGUUGCAGUGGUCACUGCCAGUCCAAACCCUGGUGGUCUUCCACCUGAUGGUGGAUAAUUAAUGAACCAGAUAUAAAAAAUACAUUUCUUACUGAAUCCAUCCUUUAAUCUGUAUCACGUUGUAGGUAAAAGGGUGUCUGUAAAAAAUAGCUUUUGCAGACUCUUCUCCAGGCCUUCCCUUCACUUUGAAGGAAUUAAUGGAUUUUAAAAUAUCUGCAAACUUUCAUUUUUGUGGCUGAAACAGUACCUGGGUCAUAUCUGGUCUCUGAGGGAUCAUUUUAAACUGCUUUCCUUGGUUUUUUCCCCUGUGUGUAAGAUGCUGUGCCUGUCACUGAGUGCUUUAUAAUGUGAGUGUACUUCCCUCUUUCAGUGGCCUGCCCUCAUGGGGAAUGUUUCUGGGAGGGCUUUUGGGGAGAGCUCUGCACUCCUGCUCCUGGCAGCUAUGUUGAUUUGUCUUUCUAUUUGUUUAGUAUGUUAACAGAACAUAAAGAAUUACAAUUUGAUUGCACAGCUUUACAGGAGACUCAGGACACAUCCUCACCUUUACACACAGCAAUUUUAGAUGGCAAUUUUCCCCCAUGUGGAUACCACCUGUCUAAUUCAGGCUUGUGCUCCUGCUGACUGAUUGGAUCACCUGACUCGGUCACUUCAAGGCUCAGGAAAGCUCGCUGGUUUGCAGGAAGAUGCCUCAGAGGAAUGAGCAGUUUGUGUGUCUGCAGCAGGCAGGCAGGCAGCAUCCUUGCUGCUGGGCUCUGCCUGGGGCUGCUACUGGCCUGGGGGACCUGGCUCCCUGUGCUUUUUGCACAGUGAGCAACUCUCCCAACUGUACUCAUUGUAUUGCUGGAGUGUCAGGAAGUGUUAAGGAAAAGGGAAUAUUCAACACCAUGGAGAUGUGUGGGUGUCAUUCCUCUGCUCCUCAGCAGAAAACACCACUUGGGUGUAUUUAAGAGCUCUUGGCCAGUUGUGCUGUAGUACAUUAUAGCAGGAGAGUGAAUUUGUGUGAUUAUUGAUUACUUCUGUGUGGGGACAGCUGAGGUGUUUGGGCUUUUGUUAUUUAGAUGAAUCAGCUGCUGGUCACUUUGUGCUGAUUCACUCCCAGAGCUGGAUGUGAGUAUUUGGAUGGAUUUACAGUAACUUCAUCCUUUUUACUCAGGGACAUGCCAGUCUGCAGAAUUGCUACAAUUGACUCAUUGUUCUGCUGUGUCAGGUAACAAAAUAUUCUGCUUUCUUUUAUUCUGCUCAGGAAGAUUUGGUUUCAUUACAUAGGUCAAAGCUCUAAAAAUAAAUUCCUGUCAGAUUUCCCCCCCAGUUAACCUAAGUGACACAUGUGGGUGUCUUUGGAUGUCGCUGUAUUGAGGCAUGCAUGACAAAAUUUCAAGUCUGCUUUCUAGGAGACUGAAGUGGUUUUGGCAUGCUGAGAACACAUAUAGGAUAUAUAUUUCUUCAACAUUGGAAUACAGUAAUGCCUUUCACAAGGAUAUAUUUCAAAUUAAUUUUGGAAUAUGAAGCUUAUAUGAGCACUUAACUGUCAAAUACUUGUCACUCUGGGCACAUGAAACUAGGAGUUGGAAACCUGUUUUGGCUUUCUGUCAAACUAAUGACAGUUCAAUUGUCCACAUCUUAACAAAAUUUAAUUACUUAAGAUUUGUAAUAUUUAUGUGCUAUAAAAAGACACUAUUUAUUUUACUACAAAAAUGCACUGUUUGUUUUGACUGUACAUAUGUACAGUGAUGGGUUUAUCUAGCUAAAAGUAAUGAAAAUAAUUUUACAGAUAAACACAUUGAAUGUUUACUUUUCAAAUAUAAAUAUGUGAUUAGCAUGGACAGGAAAAUAGUCGGAAAUGUUAACCAGUGCUCCUUGGGUAUUGAGCACCUUGCCAGGACUGUGUAUUUCUGUAAUCGUUAGCUGAGCUGCAGAGCUGUGCCCACAGCUACACUGUGUGCCCCAGCAUUCCCAUAAGGGAAAAUGGGAUGACUUCAAGUUAUCCAUCUCAGUAGUUCUAAAUUCCAGUUUUACCGAUUGCUUGUGUCAGGGCUGGUUUUAUUUCCCGAUCACAAGGUGCUCCCUGCAGAGGGACCAGCCGGAGCCGAGGCUGCUCCCCGUGCCCGGGGCUGGCGCUCCCUGGAAGGUGCCGGGGGGCGGGAGCAGGAGGCGCCCCCCGCUCUGCCGGGAGCCUCCGGGAGCUCGGCUGGGGAUCUCUGCUGCCGGGGAAGGCUCCGGGAGCUCGGCUGGGGAUCUCUGCUGCUGGGGAAGGCUCCGAGCUCCAGCGGGGCCCGGCCGGUGCGGCUCCAGCACCAGGGACAGCGGGCGGGGAGCCGGAGCGGAGGGGCCGCGCCGAGCUGCUCGGAGCUGCUUUAACCACGGGGGUACAGCGGCCGUGAGGCUGCGGGGCUGGCGUGGGACAGAGCCACGGGAAGGGACAGCACGGGAAGGGACAGCACGGGAAGGGACAGCCCGGGAAGGGACAGCACGGGAAGGACAGCACGGGAAGUAUGCGGGGCUCCUGCCCUGCCUGCAGCCCGGACGCCUCUGUCACCCGUCACACGCACAGCGCACGCAAAGGGCAGCGCAGGACUCCGGGAUGCUCAGCCCUCGUUCCCUGAGAUGUGUCAGAUGUUGGGCACAAAGUAAGGUUCUGCUAUCCCUGAAUCAAAGCCGUAACAUCAGAGAGAGCGCUUAAAAAUCGCCAGCCAAGCCCUGCCCUCCCUGCCAGGGAUUUGGCUGAGGGCUGAUUGUGUGAUAGCUCAAAUCACUUAAGCAGCCUCUGCAAUAGCAACAUGCUCAUUUCCAUCAGUGAUGAAACCACUUCUCUGAUGUUGUCUUUCAAUAGUAUAAAUUUCUUAGCAUGAAAGAGAUCUCUUCCACGGCAAUAAAUACAUAAAUUAUAAGAAAUGCAUAAGGUCAGAAAUGAAAAAAAAAAAAAAAAAAAAGAAAAAAAAAAAAAAAAAACAUACCAGGAGAGUUCACAAUGCUUCUGAACUCUCAUUUCACAAAAUAAGACAGGAGUUAAUUAUUACUUGUGAUAGGGUUUCUUAUAUCCUGAACAUUAAAAGAUAUUAAUAGGAAAAGGUAUAAAUUUGUCAAAACAGUGCUAAUUAACAUCCUAUGAUUUCUCACCCUUUUAAUAGGUAAUUUGCUGUAGUGAGAGCAUUAAGGAUAAGUGAGAAUGAAGCUGCAAUAGUAUUUUCCUCAAAUUUCUCAUUUAUUCAUAGUGCAAGAAGUUUUAAAUUAAUCUUUUAAAUAUUUUUUUUUUAAUAUUUGAAGGGCAAAAUUCUCUGUUUCUUUAGUACCAGGAAAACAUUCGUUCAGCAUGAUCUGUAAUAUUUUUUACAUAAAGAUCCAUCUGACUAAAUAAUUACCACCUGCACUGUAAAUUUUUGGUCGUCGUACUUGACAUAUUGGUACUAAGCUAUUAGUCAGUCCAUUCUCUACUUUUGUGCUGAAAAAAAAGUAAUCUGUAUUGCUCUCCUGAUUUAAUCCAGAUAACUUCUAUGCAAGCAAUUUACAAACUUAGGUGCUGGCACAACCACAUCAAUCUAUAUUUGUCCUUCUGCAAGUCCUGUUUUUUUUCUGGUUUUAUAAUUUGCUUUCAAUAGCAAUGUUACAAAUAGAGUGAAAGUAACUUUUAAUAUUAUAUUUGUAACUGUUGUGUAAAUUUGUUUUAGUGAACAUUUUUAUGGGGAGUUUUAUUAGGUGAGGCUUAACCCCAGAUGUCUGUUGUUCUGGAAGGAUAUGAAAACACCUCCUUUUCUGCCCCCAUGACUUUAGAUUCGCUUUGCUCUGAGGAAGACAACAGCAAAAAUAGGGGAAGUACUGUAAUAUUUUAUGCUGACUUCCAUUUUGCAUGAAAGAAAAAUUCAGGAAUGGAAGAGCAGAAUUGUUGUAAUUGAGAUGUUCCCAGGUUUAUCAGAAAGUUCUGCUUGCUGCAUCUCACAUGGUGAAGUGAACUGUGUGCUGGUUGCUGCUGGUCAUGAGCUGCUGCUUCCGGCACUCUGUAAGGAAUAAAUGAUGGAGUGACAGCAGCAUGCUGGGAAUGCUGCUGCUGGGUGGAAUUCUGCUUCCUUUCCUGCCACUCUGAGAAAUGUUGAGGGCUGGGAGCAGAUUUGUUUAUAAAGAACUCCUUCUGAAUUAAAAAUUUGGAAGGAGUCUUAAGAUAAUGGACUUUAACAUCCUCCCCUGAGCACUAAUCAGAAAUCAUCCCAAUUAAAGGUGUGUGAAGUUGUGGGGCACACACACUGUGAUGCCUUGGAGAGAAAAUCUGUCAUUUGCUGCAUUUAGAUUCCCAAGUUGCUGGUUUGAUCCCUCAUAAGGAAGAAAUCCGUGAGAUGGCCCUGUGCAAUAGGACAAAAAAUAGAAUUUGUGUUUGUGCAUCAAAACCUGAGAGCUCCUGCUUAAAAGUUUUAGAAGAUGACUUCACCAAAGGAAGAAUAGUUCAGUUCCUGGGACACCAGAAUCCCUUUUGAGGCAUAAAGUAGAAACACUUGGUGCUUCAAAAGGACCUGUGAGGUCAUCACAGAUGAUGAUAGAGUGGAUUUGCUUUGCAUCUCUUUGUUUCUCCCUGCAAGGUGAGGAAUUCAUAAUUUAAUGGGAAAGUAAAGUUCAGUGGCUUAAUUAAUUGUAGCAACAGGGGAAAGAAACAAAAAUAGAAAGUCAGAACCUCAAGUGUAGAAAAGGAUGGAAUAUAAUCAAAUAAAUUGUCUGGUCUGUCACAGGGAGUUGAAAUUAAUCUCUGAUUUUUUAAAUUUUUUUUUUUUCUGAUGGCAAGGGUCCUGGGCCAUCCUACUGAAACUGAGGCUUGAAGUAAUAACAGAAGUUACCAGCAACCGUAGGCCUGAGAAUGGAGACAAAGGGCAAAAUGUGGGGAUGCACUUCCCUGAAAAAGAGGGCAGGAGGGUGAUAUGUUCUGUGGUACCUGAAGGCUGGGAUAACUGAGAGAAGGCUGCUUGCAGGGAGGUGUAAGAAUCUCUCUGCUUUCUGCACUCUGACCUUCCAUUGUCCCUUGCAGAGCAUUUGAAAGGAUUGUGCAGUUCCCUUGAUCUAUUUAAGAGAAAGAAACUGUGUCAAAUCUCUCCAAUCCCAAGCCAGCUGUCUUUCAGAUCACAUCUAUAUUAUGGCAAGACAGGACAAUAUAGGGUGAACUCUCUAAUGUAUUUUAAUUAACACUGUGUUAAACAUUGCUGCAUGCUCUGUUUGGAUAAGGACAACUGUGUUUGCAGUAGCAGAACCAUAAGCAACUCACAAUGCCUCUGACAGGACAACUCCUGAACACAGUGGACAUUGAGUAACUUUACACAGUGUUUUUCAGAGAUAAGUGCUUUUCUACUGACUUGACUUGUUCAUUUAAAUAAGGUCUUGAAGCUUGUAUUUGCCUUUAUUUCAGUACAGUGCAACACAAGACCUCAGUGACAGAACAGCACCUCAAAGACUUCUGCAAGGGAUGGCCCCUUUUCUCUGAAAACCAUUAAUUCUGGGAUCCACAAUGUCCACCAACAGAAGCUCUUCUUGUAGGAGCUCUGACAUUUACAUCAGAUUUUAAACUUUAGUUUGAUUGCUGAUGCCAAUUUUAAAAACUUCUUAACAAAACCAUACUAGAAGUAGGGUUUGGAUUCCAAUUUUGUGUAGUGUGUUCAAUGUGCAAACUUUAUAAAGGAAAACAAAAACAACUCUAGAAAAAAAGAAAAUAAAAAGAAAGAAAACCCUGGGGCAUAUAACCUUGAGAAUUCUUGGUUUUGCUUGCUACAGUACUUCUCUGCUUUCCCUGUGCUUUCACAGUAGUGUGAAUAUUGAAGCUGGCAGGAGUGAGCUCUGUUUAGAGAGAGAAGAGACAGCAGAAACAGUUGUUCUGCAGCAGUGGCUGUUUGCUUUGGUCUCUCCUUUGCACGUGGGUAAUCCUGAAUUCCAGCUUGGUGCCUGGGAGAUUUGUGGCUCUGCCUCCGUUGGAGGAUGAGAUGUUUGUUCCUUCUACACUUAAGCUAGGAGUGUUUACUAAAGCAAUCAGUAUUUCUGUGGAGGUGACAGGAGCCUCGUUAAAGGGGUGGAUGCAGAGAUCAGAGGAACAGGUGUAAAUAUAUUUGGUAACUUUAACUUAAACAAACUUGCAUUCCACUGACUCUACAGCUAAGUACAUUGACUUUUUUUCUUCCUGAAGUCAUGUGGGUCAUAUGGCCAUCUACUGACUCUCUCUGAAAAUAGGAAUCACCAGCAGCAGUGCAGAAAAGAGUCAGGAAUAAACAUGCAAUAAUAUGUGUUGUGUUUCAAAUACAGGUAAUCUGCCAUCAGUGUGAGUGUCCCUGCUAAUGCUGUCAUUUGUAUGCCCAUGACCAUACAUAUGGCCUUUAAAUAAAGUGCUUUCCGUAUGCUAUUAGGUCCUGGCAGGUCCUAUUCUGUCCAGCUGUUUUGGUGUCCUCCUCAGAGUUUGUCUAGCCUUAGAAGGGUCUUACUUCCCAAGUUCACCUUCAUUCUGAGUUUACUUUAAGGGAAGAGCCAACUCAGACAUGGUUUUAGUUUGGAAAAAAAAUAUGCUGUAUUUUUUUCUUAAGUAGGAAAAUAUCAGUUAAAGUACUGGUCAGCCUGGCAGCAAGAAGAAUCCUUGAAGGGCUGAGACUGUGGAAUAAAGAGCCUGGAAGAAUUAACCAAUUCCUAUCACUGCAGAGGUUUUCUGUUCCCAAAGUAUUUGGAAGAGAUGGAAAGGUAUUUAUCAUUGACAUAAACAGAGUUAAAAAACCAAAACCAGUUUGUCAAACCCUGGAGCAGCCUAUCUCCAACAGAUGCAACUCUAUGACUUUGUCAUGCUUUGUCCCUUCAAAAAGCUAUUUCUGCAUGCUGUAGGAGUGCCUCAGGAAGGGAAGGAACGGAGCUAUUGUAAAUACAAAUGCCUAAAUGUGAAUAUGAAUUAAGGUAGGAUAGAAUAAGCUGGUUUUUUAAAAUGAAUAAUGUACAAGCACACUCAGUUCUUGGCCACUUGCUGUUUGCUUUCCACACAGGAAAACAAAACCCGACAUCCCAAAGCCAAACCAAAACCCAAACAGAAACCUGGCCCUGCUUGGUGGGGAAACAGUAGUUGCACGUGUUAAAAAAAUAAAUAAUGAAGGUUUCCACAGCAACCCCAGUUCUGUAGUGCAAGUUGAUGACUUUCAUUCUGUUUUAUUAUAUAAUCAGAGAACAGAUAUUCUAUUAAAAGUGUUGAGUACAUCUGAAGUUAUAUUGUUAAAAAGUUUAGUGCAAUCCUAAAACUUCAAAUCAAGCAAGUUGUUUACAACGGUUUCUGAAAAGGCUGUAUAAAAAGGGUUUUGGCAGAGGCUCUGACCGGGGCAGGGGCACUGGUCCAUCAGAAUAUUGCAGGGAGUAAAAUUUCAGUUGCAGGAAAACUUUUGUAUAACUUAUUUUAGCUUUUCCUUUGCUGUGAAGAAUUCAAAUUCAGUUUUUAUGGAAGGAAUGGAAGCUGAACUUGGGAGAUGAAAUCUAAAGACUGUUUCCCGUUUUGGGUACGUGCUCAUUGCGGAAACCGUGCGAAUUUCACCAGCUCUUUAGAAGCUCUGGAGAUUAAUAAUACC
This is a non-coding RNA of Taeniopygia guttata (zebra finch), 28340 nucleotides long. Lineage: Eukaryota; Metazoa; Chordata; Aves; Passeriformes; Estrildidae. The record is from RefSeq and is a predicted model, not a curated record.